Molecule: ribosomal RNA, 252 nt
Filed under: uncultured bacterium
Lineage: Bacteria
Description: partial 16S ribosomal RNA
Rfam family: Bacterial small subunit ribosomal RNA
Source: RNAcentral
UACGGAGGAUGCGAGCGUUAUCCGGAUUUAUUGGGUUUAAAGGGUGCGUAGGCGGGAUGCCAAGUCAGCGGUAAAAAUGCGGUGCUCAACGCCGUCGAGCCGUUGAAACUGGCGUUCUUGAGUGGGCGAGAAGUAUGCGGAAUUCGUGGUGUAGCGGUGAAAUGCAUAGAUAUCACGAAGAACCCCGAUUGCGAAGGCAGCAUACCGGCUCCACACUGACGCUGAGGCACGAGAGCGUGGGUAUCGAACAGG